This is a non-coding RNA of Mycena metata, 90 nucleotides long. NCBI's taxonomy places the organism in Eukaryota, Fungi, Basidiomycota, Agaricomycetes, Agaricales, Mycenaceae. The record is from the annotation of a GenBank genome assembly.
GACCUGAUAGCACAAUGGUUAGCGCCUCUGUCCAUCUUAGUAGACUUGAAAUCUCCAACAGAGGAUCCCGUUCGAUUCGGGGUCGGGUCA